This is a non-coding RNA of Dipodomys ordii (Ord's kangaroo rat), 65 nucleotides long. The record is from Rfam. Lineage: Eukaryota; Metazoa; Chordata; Mammalia; Rodentia; Heteromyidae.
GGUGGCUCAGUGGUAGAGUGCUUGCCUUGCAUGUAUGAGGCUCUGGGUUCAAUUCCUCAGCACCA